This 275-nucleotide long non-coding RNA is filed under the name Elaeis guineensis (African oil palm). RNAcentral's name for it is "long non-coding RNA (EGUI_LNC076050)". Lineage: Eukaryota; Viridiplantae; Streptophyta; Magnoliopsida; Arecales; Arecaceae. The record is from RNAcentral.
UCUCUCUCUGUUUUUUUUUGGCCGUCGCCAUCCCUCAAAUCACCCUGGUCUCGCAUCAUAAAGCUACCAACUUGGCCCUCCUCCACUUAUAUUUUGACUGUUCAAAGAUACUCUUUCGAUGCAGAAAUUAUAACCUGUGUCAUGUGCACCACCGUGGCAAUCAUAUAUAUCUCGGUUUCUAUAAACCUUAUUCAUCAUUCGCUCGUUUCCGCUUGCUGCCUCGCGCAUCUUGACUCAAUUUAUUCUUGUGAUGCACUGCUGAUGUUCGCAUGGCG